AUUGAACGCUGGCGGCAGGCCUAACACAUGCAAGUCGAGCGCGAAAGUUCUUCGGAAUGAGUAAAGCGGCGGACGGGUGAGUAAUACAUGGGAAUCUGCCUGGUAGUGGGGGACAACGUUUCGAAAGGAACGCUAAUACCGCAUACGCCCUACGGGGGAAAGGGGGGAGUCGCAAGACCUCUCGCUAUCAGAUGAGCCCA
This 200-nucleotide ribosomal RNA is filed under the name uncultured bacterium. Its description in RNAcentral is "partial 16S ribosomal RNA". It matches the Rfam family "Bacterial small subunit ribosomal RNA", at positions 30 to 233 of the family's 1533-position model. The record is from RNAcentral.